CAGGGUAUACUGGAUUUAUACCUCACCUCUCCUGGACCCUGGGUACAAGUUACAUUCCAGGAGUUGAAAAAUGCAUGGAUGAGUUUGAAAACUGUCAGAGCCAGAAAAGAAACAAACUUGGCACUGCCUACUGGCCUAGUAAUAAAAUUUAUACUGCAUCUGGUUUAAUACCGAACUACACAGGCUAUGUACCCGGUUUAAGAGACAGCUUAGGAGAAACAUUUGGAAACAGCACAAGACAUCUUUACCAUCAGUAUCUGUGAUAAACUACAUAAACACCAAGGCAAGCUACUAUGAAAACUGCUUUAAUUGUGGUGUAAGAUCUGUACAGCAUGUAACGUAACAGAAGAGAACGAGCAAACACAAAUAAAAGACAAACAUUAGAAAACAGGAGUUGCAUGAACAGUUCUUGAAAGCUUAUAAAUUAAAA
Long non-coding RNA from Bombina bombina (fire-bellied toad), 430 nucleotides. RefSeq lists it as uncharacterized. The record is from RefSeq and is a predicted model, not a curated record. NCBI's taxonomy places the organism in Eukaryota, Metazoa, Chordata, Amphibia, Anura, Bombinatoridae. The transcript is spliced from 3 exons.